Molecule: transfer RNA, 73 nt
Filed under: Ovis aries (sheep)
Lineage: Eukaryota; Metazoa; Chordata; Mammalia; Artiodactyla; Bovidae
Rfam family: tRNA
About the family: Transfer RNA (tRNA) molecules are approximately 80 nucleotides in length. Their secondary structure includes four short double-helical elements and three loops (D, anti-codon, and T loops). Further hydrogen bonds mediate the characteristic L-shaped molecular structure. tRNAs have two regions of fundamental functional importance: the anti-codon, which is responsible for specific mRNA codon recognition, and the 3' end, to which the tRNAs corresponding amino acid is attached (by aminoacyl-tRNA synthetases). tRNAs cope with the degeneracy of the genetic code in two manners: having more than one tRNA (with a specific anti-codon) for a particular amino acid; and 'wobble' base-pairing, i.e. permitting non-standard base-pairing at the 3rd anti-codon position.
Source: Rfam by way of RNAcentral
UCCCUAGCAGUCCAGCGGUUAGGACUCUGCUCUUCCAUUGCAGGGGGCACAGGUUCAAGCCCUGGUCAGAGAA